CAGUCGUAACAAGGUUUCCGUAGGUGAACCUGCGGAAGGAUCAUUAAACACAGUAGAUUUCUACUGCUCGGGGGGUUCAACGAAGUCAGCCCCAUGGGGGCUGAACUAAGUAUAACCCCGUCUUCACCCUUGUCUUUUGCGCACUCAUGUUUCCUCGGCGGGCUCAGCUCGCCGACAGGACAACUAUUAAACCUUUUUAAUUUUCAAUCAGCGUAUGAAUAAUUAUAAUAAUUACAA
This 237-nucleotide unclassified non-coding RNA is filed under the name plant metagenome. RNAcentral's name for it is "partial contains small subunit ribosomal RNA and internal transcribed spacer 1". The stretch from base 1 to 46 matches the Rfam family "Eukaryotic small subunit ribosomal RNA", at positions 1786 to 1831 of the family's 1831-position model. The record is from RNAcentral.